GGACUCUUACUAACUGCCAGACACUCACAGUUCAGGAGCCUGGGAAUAUCAGGGGACAAAACAUGUGGCAGAGAUAAUUGAUAAUAUGGACAAUUAACAAUAAAUAUAUAAUCAUGACAAGGACAUCUGAUAAUGAUGGCAGAUUACAGCCAACACCAACCCUGCCAUGACUUUGCCUGACUUCACCAGCACUUCAGCACCACAUUACCCAGAAACAGGCCCAUGGGAAACAUGGGGGACCUGUUUUCCAAAGCUGUGUGGAGAGGUAUUUCCCAGUAGAACAAGAUGUGGACUGCAGCAGCCAAGGAAAUAUCGACUCAGAUCUCCUUAAAGAAAAUCUGUUGCAGCAAGCAUAGUUGACUGACAGCCCAGAUGCUGCACCUCUGCAUCUCCCACCAUGCUUCCCCUGGGCUCUCACUGCCAAUGACUGAGCAUGACGUAUGUUUUCCUGCUAGCCACGGGAUGCAGGACACCUCAAAUGGGCAACUUUGGCUUGAGGACUCCCUAGCAAUCUGGACAAAAUGUUCUCAGAACUGUACCACAGUCUGACUUUUCCUAAUCAAUUCUUUUCUUUUGCCACUCUUCUUUUCUGUUUAUAGGUGAACAGUCUAAAGUCUUGUCCCGCUCAUUCCUGCUUCUUCCUUUUCAUCCCCUAAUAAGUUUCUUGAAUAUCUAAUCUUAUCUGACAUCUACCUCUCAGAGAACCUGAAUGAACCCUGAAUGCUAUCAGUUUCUAGACUGAAGAGGCUCUCUGAAGUUCCGAUAAAGUAAAAAAAAAAAGAAGGAUAUCCUUACAAGCACAUUGUCAUGUAACUGCAAUAUCAGGAAUAAAGAAAAUAACUUAAUAUCCUGCAAAGGGGAUUAAAAAAGUAAAAAUCAGGAGUCACAUAUAAAAAUGUGUUUGGAUUUCUCAAUGACAAUUCUGGAAGCUUGAAAAUAAUGGAGCAACACCAUAUAUGACCAAGAGUCAGGGAUAAGAAUAAAGACAUUAUUUGUCAUCCAAAUUCUCAAAAUUUCUCUUUUUUUAGAAAGCAAUUGGAAGCUGGACACAGUGACUCAGACCUGUAAUCCCAGUAC
Molecule: long non-coding RNA, 1077 nt
Filed under: Homo sapiens (human)
Lineage: Eukaryota; Metazoa; Chordata; Mammalia; Primates; Hominidae
Description: HSALNT0128190
Source: RNAcentral